UGGGAACUACCUAUUUCUACGGAACAACAGUUGGAAACGACUGCUAAUACCGUAUACGCCCUUUGGGGAAAGAUUUAUCGGAGAUAGAUGGGCCCGCGUUAGAUUAGCUAGUUGGUGAGGUAACGGCUCACCAAGGCGACGAUCUAUAGCUGGUCUGAGAGGAUGAUCAGCCACACUGGGACUGAGACACGGCCCAGACUCCUACGGGAGGCAGCAGUGGGGAAUAUUGGACAAUGGGCGCAAGUGAUCCAGCCAUGCCGCGUGAGUGAUGAAGGCCUUAGGGUUGUAAAGCUCUUUCAACGGUGAAGAUAAUGACAGUACCUGGUAAAGAAACCCCGGCUAACUCCGUGCCAGCAGCCGCGGUAAUACGGAGGGGGUUAGCGUUGUUCGGAAUUACUGGGCGUAAAGCGUACGUAGGCGGAUCAGAAAGUUGGGGGUGAAAUCCCGGGGCUCAACCCCGAACUGCCUCCAAAACUCCUGGUCUAGAGUUCGAGAGAGGUGAGUGGAAUUCCGAGUGUAGAGGUGAAAUUCGUAGAUAUUCGGAGGAACACCAGUGGCGAAGGGGCUCACUGGCUCGAUACUGACGCUGAGGUACGAAAGUGUGGGGAGCAAACAGGAUUAGAUACCCUGGUAGUCCACACCGUAAACGAUGAAUGCCAGUCGUCGGGUAGCAUGCUAUUCGGUGACACACCUAACGGAUUAAGCAUUCCGCCUGGGGAGUACGGUCGCAAGAUUAAAACUCAAAGGAAUUGACGGGG
Molecule: ribosomal RNA, 758 nt
Filed under: uncultured bacterium
Lineage: Bacteria
Description: bacterial SSU rRNA
Rfam family: Bacterial small subunit ribosomal RNA
Source: RNAcentral